Molecule: long non-coding RNA, 1057 nt
Organism: Herpailurus yagouaroundi (jaguarundi)
Lineage: Eukaryota; Metazoa; Chordata; Mammalia; Carnivora; Felidae
Exons: 2
Source: RefSeq, a predicted model, not a curated record
UCAAGAAUCAGAUGUUUAACUGACUGAGCCACCCAGGCGCCCCCAGAAUCUACAUUUUCAAAUAGAUGGUGGGUAAAUUUAACGUUUUUGGCUGGGAAUCUCAAUAUGUGUAUUAUGUGAUCAAUUCAGGAGAUCACAUUGGAUAGUUAGGUUUAUUGAUGCAAUGAGAUGGCAGAGUAUUGCUAGAAGCAACUACAUUUUAAAGACACAUAGGUCCUGUCACACCGUCAGGGGCUGUGCUGUGCUCAUUAUUUGGUCAGUCUGUAUCCCUGGCGGAGUUGUGAGCCCCUGGAAAAGAGGGCUAUGUCGUUGAUCUGAGCACUCCUAGUACCCAGCUCAGUGCUUUGAGUAUUCAAUGUAUGUCUACUGAUUUUGGUCCACCUGCAUGUAUUAUGUGUGUAAAAGUCCUGUAGGAACAGCAUGAGCCAAUGCAGCCAUUCAAUACAAUGAGUCUCCGAACUUGAUUUCCAACCCAAGUUAUCACUGGAAUAAAAUGUGGCUCACCACCAAGCACUCACCUCUGACCACGGGCUUCCCUUAGGGGAUUCACCCGCACAAUGGGGAAAGGUUAUCUUAAUCAAUCGACUCUUAUCCUGCCAGUUGAACGUCCUUGCACACUUUCCACCUCUCUGCAUACUGUGGUUCACGUCUCUAGAAUGGAGAUGACUAUCUACUCAAGGUUUUGAUGGAGCAUGAAGUGAAUUAAAGACCGGAAGCACUUUGUAGUGUUGGCAUUGACGAGGAACUUGACAUGAGCUAGUUGCAUCCCCUAUGCUUCCUCCUCCCCUCCUUCCAGCUUCCGUCACUUCUGGACUGGCCUGAAGAGCCAUAACUGAAGAGAGAUAUGAAUUAUUAAUGCAGCUACUCCUUCAUCACUUACUUAACCCCAGCUGCGAGUUCUUAGUAGACAUUCCCUCUCAGCCUUUUUCCAGCUGGAGAAGCUCCACCCCUAGUUCCCAGUAUGCUGUCAUCAAUGCCAGGAGUCAGCAAAACACUACCCGCCGGCUAAGUCUAUCCCAUCACCUAUUUUUGUAAAUAAAAUUUUAUUGGAACACAA